Hypomesus transpacificus is the source of this 371-nucleotide long non-coding RNA. RefSeq lists it as uncharacterized. NCBI's taxonomy places the organism in Eukaryota, Metazoa, Chordata, Actinopteri, Osmeriformes, Osmeridae. The record is from RefSeq and is a predicted model, not a curated record. The transcript is spliced from 4 exons.
AUUGUCUCUGCGGUUUCAGUGGUCCAGAGAACCGGAUCCCGUCCCGUUACCUGGAAUUGGCGUUGAUCCAUCUCAGGUUUUCCCAAGCUGCUGCAGCUGUUUCACUGUGGUCCUGGGUUUCUGUCUAUCCAGACAGUUCACCAUCCCCACUGACAGAAUCACAUGUUCUGUGUUUGGGUUCGGCGUCAGCUUCUCCAGUAUCCCCCUUAAAUGAUGGCAGUUUGCCCCUGGGAAACUGUCAACCUGGAUAUGUUCAUCCUUAAAAGUCGGAUGGAUAACGGGCUCCUCUCUGAGGAGGACCUUUGGCUGUGACUGGCUGAGAGCGUGACGGAGAUGUUCCAGAGGCCUCUAAAGUUUCCCUCAUCCCUACC